GACGAACGCUGGCGGCGUGCUUAACACAUGCAAGUCGAACGGAAAGGCCCUUCGGGGUACUCGAGUGGCGAACGGGUGAGUAACACGUGGGUGAUCUGCCCUGCACUUUGGGAUAAGCCUGGGGAACUGGGUCUAAUACCGAAUAGGACCACGCGCUUCAUGGUGUGUGGUGGAAAGCUUUUGCGGUGUGGGAUGGGCCCGCGGCCUAUCAGCUUGUUGGUGGGGUAAUGGCCUACCAAGGCGACGACGGGUAGCCGGCCUGAGAGGGUGACCGGCCACACUGGGACUGAGAUACGGCCCAGACUCCUACGGGAGGCAGCAGUGGGGAAUAUUGCACAAUGGGCGCAAGCCUGAUGCAGCGACGCCGCGUGAGGGAUGACGGCCUUCGGGUUGUAAACCUCUUUCAAUAGGGACGAAGCGCAAGUGACGGUACCUAUAGAAGAAGCACCGGCCAACUACGUG
RNAcentral lists this ribosomal RNA (462 nucleotides) under uncultured bacterium. RNAcentral's name for it is "partial 16S ribosomal RNA". It matches the Rfam family "Bacterial small subunit ribosomal RNA", at positions 28 to 507 of the family's 1533-position model. The record is from RNAcentral.